GGGUUUUCAAUUUAUAUAAAUGGUUCUUCGAUUCUGUCAUAUCUUCUUCAAAAGCAAAAACAAGAGUGGACACACUGAAAUGUCUCGUCUGUCUCGUGUUCAUAAUAUAAUUUAUGAUGAAAGUAUAAAAAAACAUUGUAUACCCAAGCAUUACAUUAUUGCUGUUUACAGUUUAUCUACAUCUAUAAUAAUAUUCAAGAUAAUAACCAAAAACAGCAAAAUUUCCUUAAAAUUACCAAUUCAGGGGCGGCAACCCAACAACGGGUUGUCCGAUUCAUCUGAAAAUUUCAGGGCAGAUAGAUCUUGACCUGAUAAACAAUUUUACCCCGUCAGAUUUGCUCUAAAUGCUUUGGUUUUUGAGUUAUAAGCUAAAAACUGCAUUUUACCCCUAUGUUCUAUUUUUAGCCAUGGCGGCCAUCUUGGUUGGUUAGCCGGGUCACCAGACACAAUUUUUAAACUAGAUACCCAAAUAAUGAUUUUGGCCAUGUUUGGUUAAAUUUGGCCCAGUAGUUUCAGAGGAGAAGAUUUUUGUAAAAGAUAACUAAGAUUUACGGAAAAUGGUUAAAAAUUGACUAUAAAGGGCCAUAACUCCUAAAGGGGUCAACUGACCAUUUUGGUCAUGUUGACUUAUUUGUAAAUCUUACUUUG
Molecule: long non-coding RNA, 648 nt
Filed under: Mytilus galloprovincialis (Mediterranean mussel)
Lineage: Eukaryota; Metazoa; Mollusca; Bivalvia; Mytilida; Mytilidae
Source: RNAcentral